Molecule: ribosomal RNA, 253 nt
Filed under: uncultured bacterium
Lineage: Bacteria
Description: partial 16S ribosomal RNA
Rfam family: Bacterial small subunit ribosomal RNA
Source: RNAcentral
UACGUAGGGUGCAAGCGUUGUCCGGAAUUAUUGGGCGUAAAGAGCUCGUAGGCGGUUUGUCGCGUCGAAUGUGAAAACCCGGGGCUCAACCCCGGGCCUGCAUUCGAUACGGGCAGACUAGAGUUCGGUAGGGGAGUCUGGAAUUCCUGGUGUAGCGGUGAAAUGCGCAGAUAUCAGGAGGAACACCGGUGGCGAAGGCGGUCUGCUGGGCAGUUGCUGACGCUGAUGCGCGACAGCGUGGGGAGCAAACAGG